RNAcentral lists this ribosomal RNA (440 nucleotides) under uncultured bacterium. RNAcentral describes it as "partial 16S ribosomal RNA". It matches the Rfam family "Bacterial small subunit ribosomal RNA", at positions 338 to 795 of the family's 1533-position model. The record is from RNAcentral.
CCUACGGGCGGCAGCAGUGGGGGAUAUUGCACAAUGGGGGAAACCCUGAUGCAGCGACGCCGCGUGUGGGAAGACGGUCCUCUGGAUUGUAAACCACUGUCCCCAGGGACGAAGAUGACGGUACCUGGGGAGGAAGCUCCGGCUAACUACGUGCCAGCAGCCGCGGUAAUACGUAGGGAGCGAGCGUUGUCCGGAAUUACUGGGGGUAAGGGGAGCGUGGGCGGGACUGCAAGUUGGGUGUCAAAUCUACCGGCUCAACCGGUAGCCGCACUCAAAACUGCAGUUCUUGAGUGAAGUAGAGGCAGGCGGAAUUCCUAGUGUAGCGGUGAAAUGCGUAGAUAUUAGGAGGAACACCAGUGGCGAAGGCGGCCUGCUGGGCUUUUACUGACGCUGAGGCUCGAAAGUGUGGGGAGCAAACAGGAUUAGAUACCCCUGUAGUC